GAGUUUGAUCCUGGCUCAGGACGAACGCUGGCGGCGUGCCUAAUACAUGCAAGUUGAGCGCUGAAGGUUGGUACUUGUACCGACUGGAUGAGCAGCGAACGGGUGAGUAACGCGUGGGGAAUCUGCCUUUGAGCGGGGGACAACAUUUGGAAACGAAUGCUAAUACCGCAUAACAACUUUAAACAUAAGUUUUAAGUUUGAAAGAUGCAAUUGCAUCACUCAAAGAUGAUCCCGCGUUGUAUUAGCUAGUUGGUGAGGUAAAGGCUCACCAAGGCGAUGAUACAUAGCCGACCUGAGAGGGUGAUCGGCCACAUUGGGACUGAGACACGGCCCAAACUCCUACGGGAGGCAGCAGUAGGGAAUCUUCGGCAAUGGACGAAAGUCUGACCGAGCAACGCCGCGUGAGUGAAGAAGGUUUUCGGAUCGUAAAACUCUGUUGGUAGAGAAGAACGUUGGUGAGAGUGGAAAGCUCAUCAAGUGACGGUAACUACCCAGAAAGGGACGGCUAACUACGUGCCAGCAGCCGCGGUAAU
This 533-nucleotide ribosomal RNA is filed under the name uncultured bacterium. Its description in RNAcentral is "bacterial SSU rRNA". It matches the Rfam family "Bacterial small subunit ribosomal RNA", at positions 9 to 524 of the family's 1533-position model. The record is from RNAcentral.